UGAGGAAUAUUGGGCAAUGGAGGCAACUCUGACCCAGCCAUGCCGCGUGAGUGAAGAAGGUUUUCGGAUUGUAAAGCUCUUUCGCACGGGACGAUGAUGACGGUACCGUGAUAAGAAGCCCCGGCUAACUUCGUGCCAGCAGCCGCGGUAAUACGUAGGGGGCAAGCGUUAUCCGGAUUUACUGGGUGUAAAGGGAGCGUAGACGGCAUGACAAGCCAGAUGUGAAAACCCAGGGCUCAACCCUGGGACUGCAUUUGGAACUGCCAGGCUGGAGUGCAGGAGAGGUAAGCGGAAUUCCUAGUGUACCGGUGAAAUGCGUAGAUAUUAGGAGGAACACCAGUGGCGAAGGCGGCUUACUGGACUGUAACUGACGUUGAGGCUCGAAAGCGUGGGGAGCAAACAGGAUUAGAUACC
Molecule: ribosomal RNA, 414 nt
Filed under: uncultured bacterium
Lineage: Bacteria
Description: bacterial SSU rRNA
Rfam family: Bacterial small subunit ribosomal RNA
Source: RNAcentral